CUAACAUUGCCUUCAAUAAAAUGAGAUUAAAAAAGUAGAGUGAAAUAACACUCUAAACCAGAUUCUAGUGAGAAGAACUUGAAGGAGAGAUUUCCUCAGCAUCGGUCUUUAAAUCAGCUGAAAGGCCAGAAAUAAAUGGUGACUGAAGUCACUCAUCAGUCUAUGAGGACUUUUUGUCAGAAGCACGGCAAGGAACUUCAGUUUGGCUUUCAAAAGUGCUGAACACCCAAAACUCCUACCAAGGCUUCCUGGAAUUACAGGUACUUGAUACCACUGCUAAUUUAAGCUGAAUUAACU
RNAcentral lists this long non-coding RNA (297 nucleotides) under Junco hyemalis (dark-eyed junco). Its description in RNAcentral is "lncRNA (ENSJHYG00000014969.1)". Lineage: Eukaryota; Metazoa; Chordata; Aves; Passeriformes; Passerellidae. The record is from RNAcentral.